This is a long non-coding RNA of Harmonia axyridis, 1424 nucleotides long. RefSeq lists it as uncharacterized. The record is from RefSeq and is a predicted model, not a curated record. The transcript has 3 exons. Lineage: Eukaryota; Metazoa; Arthropoda; Insecta; Coleoptera; Coccinellidae.
CAAUAUUUCUUCGUUGGGAACACUGGGUAGUUGGUAUUGUCGCAUAACAAUAUGGCGACGAUGAAUAUGGUCAAUUCUCUUCAACUUUAGCGUUUCAUGCUGUCAAAGUUAACCAACAAAACCCAUAUGCGUAGCAUAAGGUUUCCAAAAGAUGAAAGCAGGAGAGCGGCAUGUAUUCAUUUUAUAAAUGAACCUGAAUUUGUUCCUAGAACUCAAAGUAAUUAAUGCUCUCGUCAUUUUGGUGAUGAUUGUUUAUAUCAAACUCCAAAGGUUAUAGUGAGACUACAUCCCAUUGCUGUACCAACAAUUGUACAAUAGUAGAUCGUUUAAAAUAUUUCCCUCGAUUUUUGUAGUCCAGGCCCUCGAAACGUGUGGAAAGUGCUCUAAUGGAUCAUGAUUAUUUAGGUAUAGGUAUUCAAUUACUGGAUCUUCAGGUAUGGCUGGACCUCCAUAAAUUUAUUUAAUCAUUUAUUGAAAUUAAAUCAAAUAUACAUACAUAAGGGAAUUUUAUUUUGUCUAUGUUGGAAAAGAUAAUAAUAUAUUGGUUUUUAAUACACGAAUUGUUAAUUUUGUAGAAUUUGACAAAUAAACAUUAUUAUUAUAUCAGUUAUAGAGCAAACCCCCACUUUUUGAUGACAUACCCCCCAUAAAAUCGGAAGACACACUCCGAGUUACAGAAUUUACUCAUUAUAGUAGCCAAAUUGUUCAUCAAUUCAUUAUACCCAGUACAUACUUAUUAAGGAUGAUUGUAAUUGCUCAAUAUCUAAUUCAUUAAUAAAAAUUAUUUUUAUUAUUAUCAUUCAUCUAUCCCAUCUUAAAUUCGUUCACUUCAAUUCCAAGCUGUCCUUUACAAAACUAAAAAUAAAAUAAAACUUCAAAAUUUAAUAAAGAAUCGUAUAUGUGAAGUUUGAAUAAACCCAUAUCAACCAGAUUUAUUCAUUAUUCCAUUAUAGUACAUAUAAUUACUGGUAAUUUUUGUAAUUAUUCAAUUCGUUCAUAAAAUUUAUAUUAAGUUCAAUGUACCUCUAUAGCUGCUAGCUUUCAGCUACAUUUUCUAAUAGAAAUAUUAGUCUUCACCGAAAUGUAUUAUUUUUGAAUGAAGAAAAUUUUUAUCCUACUACGCCACUGCUAAGCGAAAACGUGAGUCGGCCAUAUUCAGCUACCCUUCUGAUCAUCAGUUUUGGGACGUUAUGCUCCCUCCUGUUUAUUCUAUACUCUAAGGAUAAGAGUAUUUACAGUUACUCCCGGGGACAUCCUGUAGAUAUAGGUUGAGUGAUUUUGAAUUAUAUUAAAUUUUGAACUGUGAGUUUGUUUAUUCAUGUGUUUUUUCUGUGUAUAUUAUUAUACCUACAUUUAAAUGUUUUUAUACUUAUUUUUUAUACACUGCGCAAAAAAAUUAACGCACAUUCUGAAAAUAUCAAUUU